RNAcentral lists this unclassified non-coding RNA (213 nucleotides) under uncultured Leucoagaricus. Its description in RNAcentral is "sequence contains ITS2". The record is from RNAcentral. Lineage: Eukaryota; Fungi; Basidiomycota; Agaricomycetes; Agaricales; Agaricaceae.
UAUUAUCAACCGCUCCCGGCUUUUGUAGUUGGGUUUGGCGGAUUGGAUAUGGAGGUUUGCAGGCACUUUUAAAGUGGUCAGCUCCUCUGAAAUGCAUUAGCGGAACCGUUUGCAAUCUGUUAACUGGUGUGAUAAUUUGUCUACGCUAGUGGAUUGCUCUCUGCUUGUUCUGCUUCUAAUAGUUUCCCACUGAGGAGACAGCUUAUAAUGAAC